This 464-nucleotide ribosomal RNA is filed under the name uncultured bacterium. Its description in RNAcentral is "partial 16S ribosomal RNA". It matches the Rfam family "Bacterial small subunit ribosomal RNA", at positions 338 to 794 of the family's 1533-position model. The record is from RNAcentral.
CCUACGGGUGGCUGCAGUGGGGAAUCUUGCGCAAUGGGCGAAAGCCUGACGCAGCGACGCCGCGUGAGGGAUGAAGGUCUUCGGAUCGUACACCUCUGUCAGCAGGGAAGAACGGUCACUGUGCUAAUCAGCAGUGAAUUGACGGUACCUGCAAAGGAAGCACCGGCUACCUCCGUGCCAGCAGCCGCGGUAAUACGGAGGGUGCGAGCGUUAGUCGGAAUUACUGGGCGUAAAGCGCUCGUAGGCGGUAUGUCAAGUCAAGGGUGAAAUCCCCGCGCUCAACGUGGGAACUGCCUGUGAAACGGGCAAACUGGAGUGUGUGGGAGGAUAGUGGAAUUCCAGGUGUAGGAGUGAAAUCCGUAGAUAUCUGGAGGAACAUCAGUGGCGAAGGCGACUAUCUGGCACAUAACUGACGCUGAGGCACGAAAGCGUGGGGAGCAAAUAGGAUUAGAUACCCCUGUAGC